CCUAAUUUUAAUCAAGAACAAGAUUAACACAAUUUAAUAACAGAAAAUUAGCAAGAUAUAAAUAAAUUAAUUAACUCAAACAUGAAUUAAUGGAGAAUCAAGAACAUGGGCCAGAGGUGUGUAAAACGGAUUGGAGGUAUGAAACAGUGAAAUCUUGGGUCAUGAAACUCUAGGGCAACAAAGCCCAACUUCUCAAAACCGGAUCUUUACACAAACUCCUAUCUCAGCAAUGUCCAAACACUCUUCACAAGUUCAUAAUGAGAAAGAAGACGAAAAAAGACUUACAUGAAAAAUGGAAAACUCUCACUGUCGGUGUCGCAACCUUGAAUCCCUCCGUGUAAGAACCGCGCACCGCUGCUUAUAGUCGAUUAGUUCUUCCGCGUGUUGAUCGAGAUGAAGAUGAAGCUCCGCGCUCGUGUGUUGAUGAUUGCGAUGAAGAACGAAGAUUUGUGUUUGUGUGUGUUGCAUCGCAGGAUGAAGGAUGACGAUUUGUGUUCGUGAUGAAGAUCAAGAUGUUAUUGCAGGAUGAAUCUUCCUCUCGAUUUCCCGUUACGAUUCAGUGCGAGGCCUUCAUAGCGAAUUAGUUAGGUUAGCUGAUUUUGGUUCAUAGGAUAGUUUUAGUAGGAGCGAGGAGGUUGAAAGGUUGAACCUUGGAAGAAGGUUAGAGAUGAAGUUCAGCAAGGGUCUUUGGAGGAGCUCAUAGAUAGUUUUUGGAAGGUGUUGUUGAUUGAAGUUAGAAGCAGUUCUGGGAGAUCGUUUUAGCCGAUUGCCGGAGGUUAGAAAAUGGAGGGUUCUGUUAUGGCUUGGGUUCUGUUCUGUUUUGGGUCUUGUUCUGUGAAGUGGAGGGUGAGGGGGAGGAGUGAAGAGUUAGAGAAAGAGGGUGGUUGGAGGGUGAGAGUUUGGUUCGAAGAAGGUUGUUAUGGAAGGUCCUUUUAGAGGUUGAUUAGGAUUAUGUUAUAUGGUUGUGGAAGUUGGCGAUUGAGAGUUUUGGUGAGAGAUUUUUCCAUUCUGUUAUGACAGUUGGUUGUGAGUGUUAUCCGAGCUCAGAAAAAUUGGAAUUGUUAGGUAGAGGGAUCGAAGAAGUCAGGAAAUUGAAGUUGAGAGAGUGGUCUUUGUAUAGAAGUUGGGAAGAGUUAGCCCAGUGAAUGUGAUACAACUAUGUGCCUUGUUAUGCUAAUGAUGACUUUAGGAGAACUAUGUAAAAAAAAAGUGUCAAGUCUCUUAUGCCAGGUUCAGAAAUGAAUUUAGGACUUGAAUCAAUAGGUAUAUGCUGAAAAUGUGGAUGUAAUGUUAAAUUGGAUUCCUACGGCUAGUGAAUUUUGGUUAAUCAUGAAUGUGUAAAGUCAACGAAUUGGAUAUGAAUGCGUGGUUAUGAUGAAAAACAGUUUUUGUAAUUAAAUGCCUUUGUACAUGGUUGAAAUGUGAUCUUGGUGGUUAAAUGCAUGGAAAUUUUGAAUGGAA
Molecule: long non-coding RNA, 1461 nt
Organism: Lathyrus oleraceus (garden pea)
Lineage: Eukaryota; Viridiplantae; Streptophyta; Magnoliopsida; Fabales; Fabaceae
Exons: 2
Source: RefSeq, a predicted model, not a curated record